AGUGACGAUAGCCUAGGAGAUACACCUGUACCCGUGCCGAACACAGAAGUUAAGCCCUAGAACGCCGGAAGUAGUUGGGGGUUGCCCCCUGUGAGAUAGGGAAGUCGCUUAGCU
This 114-nucleotide ribosomal RNA is filed under the name Streptococcus pneumoniae. The record is from RNAcentral. Lineage: Bacteria; Bacillati; Bacillota; Bacilli; Lactobacillales; Streptococcaceae.